Long non-coding RNA from Oncorhynchus tshawytscha (Chinook salmon), 438 nucleotides. The record is from Ensembl. NCBI's taxonomy places the organism in Eukaryota, Metazoa, Chordata, Actinopteri, Salmoniformes, Salmonidae.
AAGUAUUGAGACCCCUUGACUUAUCCCACAUUUUGUUACAUUACAAAAGCUUAUUCUAAAAUGUAUUUAUUUUAUUUUUUACCCACAGCUGUGCCAUCAGAGUCCCUGGGUUCGCGCCAGUCUCUGUCGUAACCGGCCGCGACCUGGAGGUCCGUGGGGCGACGCACAAUUGGCCUAGCGUCAUCCGGGUUAGGGAAGGGUUGGCUGGCAACGCAAGCCAAUGUUUAUGCCGGCCUGACAACAUUUGACAUGGCAGAUAUCUUUGGACCAGCAGAGGAGGUUUUUGGACACUUCAACAGGUGAAAUUGAAACCCAGCGGUGUAACCCUUCAUGGUUUGACUAAAUGGGUGCCUCGACCUGGACCAAUGGACCGCAAGCCGGUGGUCUACUCUCAGAGCGCUAUCUAGAGAAGGCAGAGCCUACAAGCAGGGCAGAGCU